GGGUGGUGUGGGGGGGAAGAGAUUAGAGCAUCGCUUUAGCAUGGAUAGUAUGACAAGGAACUAGAAUAGAAGAGCAGAAGAUAGAUUGCAAGGAAAAGCAGAUACAAGAAAUACUAUUAAUUAUUAAACCCCUAUUAAAUUGUAGUUAAAGCAACCAAUGUGAAUAACUCAAGCAAAAUUGUCCAAUAAGACACUUCUGUUUGACUUUUUACUUUUUCUCCUUGUUACCAAAUACCAGAUAAAGCAUUCUCACAUACUUGUACUCACUGCAUAAACAAAUGAACCUUUUCUUUGUUCUUCAGUCUAUAAUAGAUGCAUUUUUAUAAUUACAAGCAGCUACCCUCCUAUUGGAUUAUCCACAUUCACCAGAUUGCAUUUAACAUUGGCCCUAAUUCCCUUCAUAGAAAAGAAAGCAUUUUAAUCAAUACCAGUUGCAGUCCUCAAACAAAUGCAUGAGCUUCCAGAAUAGCAAAAUAGCUAGUACCCUUAAAAGGCAAAAUUAUACCAAGUAUAGGAAACAAAACUUGAGAUAGUUACAGCUAUAAAUGAAGCUUCCAGUAGCAAACUAAUACCAAUUUACAUAAGCACAAGCCUCAUUUCCAAUCUCUUUCCCAAUUUUGAUUCUUAGAUACGAUCCAAUUCACAGUCCCAAUUCCCUCAUUAGCUUAUAAAGCAAAGCAAAUUCGACCAAAAAAAAUCCAAAAGCAAUCAAAUCAUAGAAAUUAACGUCAAAAUUCUCCAAGUAAACCAUCGCAUCUCAAAAACAUAAAAAAUCAAAUAACAAAGUAAGCUCAACUAAACCAAAAAAAAAAAUUAUAAAAACAGAUUAACGAGGUCGAACAGGGAAAUACAAAUUCAUAGAAAAAGUAAGUAAUAAAAAGCUGAAGAUUUCUAGGGUUUGGAUUAAAAAACAGAAGCAGAAGUGAAAGGGACCUGACCUGCUUAGCUAAACUGAAAAGGAAGAAAAGCGACGUCGGAUUCAGCAGAUACCAGUAUUUGUAGUUGGGACUGAGAGAAGAAAGAUGCAAGCUUUCGUUUGUGAGGAAGAUUUGUGGCUCAAUCUCUCUCUAACUCCGCCCUGUAUCCAAAAACAUCUGCAGCGACUUGAGGGUCAAGAGAUCGAAUCAGCCCCU
This 1133-nucleotide unclassified non-coding RNA is filed under the name Hevea brasiliensis (rubber tree). Lineage: Eukaryota; Viridiplantae; Streptophyta; Magnoliopsida; Malpighiales; Euphorbiaceae. The record is from RNAcentral.